RNAcentral lists this ribosomal RNA (253 nucleotides) under uncultured bacterium. Its description in RNAcentral is "partial 16S ribosomal RNA". It matches the Rfam family "Bacterial small subunit ribosomal RNA", at positions 524 to 776 of the family's 1533-position model. The record is from RNAcentral.
UACAGAGGGGGCAAGCGUUGUUCGGAAUUACUGGGCGUAAAGGGCGCGUAGGCGGCCUGCUAAGUCGAACGUGAAAUCCCUGGGCUCAACCCAGGAACUGCGUCCGAUACUGGUUGGCUUGGAUCCGGGAGAGGGAUGCGGAAUUCCAGGUGUAGCGGUGAAAUGCGUAGAUAUCUGGAGGAACACCGGUGGCGAAGGCGGCAUCCUGGACCGGCAUUGACGCUGAGGCGCGAAAGCCAGGGGAGCAAACGGG